CGGGCGCACGGCGGAUGCCUUGGCACAGGGAGCCGAUGAAGGACGCGGCAAGCUGCGAUAAUCCCCGGCGAGGAGCACACAUCCUUCGACCCGGGGGUCUCCGAAUGGGCGAACCCAUGCACAGCAGUGUGCAUAUCCCCCCGCUGAACACAUAGGCGGGGGGAGGACAACCCGGGGAACUGAAACAUCUAAGUACCCGGAGGAGAGGAAAUCAAUCUCGAGACUCCCCGAGUAGCGGCGAGCGAAAGGGGACCGAUGGCCAAACCGUCGAGCGGGCAUACCCGGCAGGGGUUCCGCCGACGGGGUUGCAGGGCCGCGCAUCCGGGGGCUGCCGCCCCCGGGCGCAGGUCCGGCUGGGGAGCGGAACGGCAUGGGAGGGCCGGCCGCAGCGGGUGACAGCCCCGUACGCGAACCCAGACCGGACGGCGCGACGCGGUCCCUGAGUAGGGCCGGGCACGUGAAACCCGGUCCGAACCUGGGUGGACCACCAUCCAAGCCUGAGUACUACCCUGUGACCGAUAGCGCACCAGUACCGUGAGGGAAAGGUGAAAAGCACCCCGGGAGGGGAGUGAAACAGUACCUGAAACCGUGCGCCCACGAGCAGUCGGAGCACCUUUAUGGUGUGACGGCGUGCCUUUUGUAGAAUGAGCCAGCGAGUCGCUGGCGCGGGGCGAGGUUAACCGAAAGGGAGCCGGAGCGAAAGCGAGCCUUAACAGGGCGACUUGAGUCCCGCGCCGCGGACGCGAAGCCGGGUGAGCUAUCCGUGGGCAGGCUGAAGCGGGGGUAAGACCCCGUGGAGGGCCGAACGCACGUCGGUUGAAAACGGCGGCGAUGACCUGCGGAUAGGGGUGAAAGGCCAAUCAAACCCGGAGAUAUCUCGUUCUCCCCGAAAUAGCUUUAGGGCUAGCGUCGCGCGUUCACCGCCGGAGGUAGAGCACCGGAUGGACGAGGGGGCUUCGCCGCCUACCGAAUCCAACCGAACUCCGAAUGCCGGCGGCCCAGAGCGCGGCAGUCAGAGCAUGUGGGCUAAGCUGUGUGCUCGAGAGGGAAACAGCCCGGACCGCCCGCUAAGGUCCCCAAGUUCCAGCCGAGUGGCAAAGGAUGUGCGUCCGCCCAGACAACCAGGAUGUUGGCUUAGAAGCAGCCAUCCAUUCAAAGAGUGCGUAACAGCUCACUGGUCGAGUGGACAUGCGCCGACAAUACACGGGGCUAAGCUGGACACCGAAGCGGCGGGAUUUUAAUUCAUUAGAAUCGGUAGGGGAGCUUCCCAUGGGCGGAGAAGCCGGAGGGCGACCGACGGUGGAGCGCAUGGGAGUGAGAAUGCUGGCAUGAGUAGCGAGAGACGAGAGAGUAACUCGUCCGCCGUGAACCCGAGGUUUCCUGGGCAAGGCUAAUCCUCCCAGGGUCAGUCGGGGGCUAAGGCGAGGCCGGUAGGCGUAGCCGACGCGCAGCAGGCAGACAUUCCUGCACCGCGCACGCGGCGCUACGACCGACGGGGCGACGGAUGGGGGUGGCUCGGCGGGGUUCUGGACGUCCCCGUGAUGGAGCGCGGCCCGCGGACCAGGGAAAUCCGGUCCGCACGAAGGGCGAGGCUCCGGACGAAGCGACUGAGCGAAGCGAGUGAGCCCGAGGUCCCUAGAAAAACCCCUAGGCAGGCGCGUGCGCGCCCGUACCGCAAACCGACACAGGUGGGUGGGUAGAACAUACCGAGGCGAUCGGGUCAACCAUGGUCAAGGAACUCGGCACAAUGGCCCCGUAACUUCGGGAGAAGGGGUGCCCGCGCGUACGUGAACGGACUUGCUCCGGGAGCGGAGGCGGGCCGCAGUGGAGAGGCCCAAGCGACUGUUUACCAAAAACACAGGACUCUGCAGAAGCCGCAAGGCGACGUAUAGGGUCUGACGCCUGCCCGGUGCCGGAAGGUCACGCGGAGGAGUUAGCCGAUUCGGCGAAGCCCCGAAGCCAAGCCCCGGUAAACGGCGGCCGUAACUAUAACGGUCCUAAGGUAGCGAAAUUCCUUGUCGGGUAAGUUCCGACCUGCACGAAAGGCGCAACGACUUGGGCGCUGUCUCGACCAUGGACCCGGUGAAAUUGCACUGGUCGUGAAGAUGCGACUUACCCGCGGAAGGACGGAAAGACCCCGUGAACCUUCACUGCAGCUUGGCAUUGGCCGCUGGUCCCGCGUGUAGAGGAUAGGCAGGAGGCAUCGAUCCGGAGGCGCCAGCCCCCGGGGAGCCGCCCUUGGAAUACUGCCCUCGCGCGACCGGCGUCCUAACCCGAGGCCGUCAACCGGCUCGGGGACCGUGCCAGGCGGGCAGUUUGACUGGAGAUCGGAAGAGCACACGUCUGAACUCC
This 2352-nucleotide ribosomal RNA is filed under the name human gut metagenome. RNAcentral describes it as "bacterial LSU rRNA". It matches the Rfam family "Bacterial large subunit ribosomal RNA", at positions 15 to 2318 of the family's 2925-position model. The record is from RNAcentral.